RNAcentral lists this ribosomal RNA (134 nucleotides) under uncultured bacterium. RNAcentral's name for it is "partial 16S ribosomal RNA". It matches the Rfam family "Bacterial small subunit ribosomal RNA", at positions 355 to 490 of the family's 1533-position model. The record is from RNAcentral.
UGGGGAAUAUUGCACAAUGGGCGCAAGCCUGAUGCAGCGACGCCGCGUGCGGGAUGGAGGCCUCGGGUUGUAAACCGCUUUGUUCAAGGGCAAGGCACGGUCUUUGGCCGUGUUGAGUGGAUUGUUCGAAUAAG